ACAUUUCUGGGAGGUAUGUUCUCCAGGCAGCCACCCGGUGCCCCGCUCCCGCCGCCGGGCCUCCCGGGCCAGGCCUCGCUUCUUCAGGUUGCGCCAGGCGCUCCCAGAUCUUCUCCGAGUACCUUGGUGGAUGAGUUGGAGUCAUCUUUCGAGGCUUGCUUUGCUUCUCUGGUGAGUCAGGACUAUGUCGAUGGCACGGAUCAGGAGGAAAUUCGAACUGGUGUUGAUCAGUGUAUCCAGAAAUUUCUGGAUAUUGCAAGACAAACAGAAUGUUUUUUUCUACAAAAAAGAUUGCAGUUAUCUGUCCAGAAGCCAGAGCAGGUUAUCAAAGAGGAUGUCUCGGAACUGCGGAACGAGCUGCAGCGGAAAGACGCCCUGGUCCAGAAGCACCUGACCAAGCUACGGCAUUGGCAGCAGGUGCUGGAGGACAUCAACGGGCAGCACAAGAAGCCCGCCGACAUCCCGCGGGGCUCCCUGGCCUACCUUGAGCAGGCGUCUGCCAACAUCCCCGCGCCUAUGAAGCAGAACUGA
Molecule: RNA transcript, 531 nt
Organism: Myotis lucifugus (little brown bat)
Lineage: Eukaryota; Metazoa; Chordata; Mammalia; Chiroptera; Vespertilionidae
Gene name: mediator of RNA polymerase II transcription subunit 28 pseudogene
Exons: 1
Source: RefSeq, a predicted model, not a curated record